GGGUCAUUACCAAGGCUUAAGGAAUGAAGUUUUUUCAUUUGCUGUGGAGAUGACCAUUAAAAAAAAAUUCCUCACUAAGUUUUCUCUCUUCUACCUCAUUAGCAAGCAACUUCUUGAAAACAUUA
This is a small nucleolar RNA of Octodon degus (degu), 125 nucleotides long. Lineage: Eukaryota; Metazoa; Chordata; Mammalia; Rodentia; Octodontidae. The record is from Ensembl.